Molecule: transfer RNA, 84 nt
Filed under: Candidatus Anoxychlamydiales bacterium
Lineage: Bacteria; Pseudomonadati; Chlamydiota; Chlamydiia; Candidatus Anoxychlamydiales
Description: tRNA-Leu
Rfam family: tRNA
About the family: Transfer RNA (tRNA) molecules are approximately 80 nucleotides in length. Their secondary structure includes four short double-helical elements and three loops (D, anti-codon, and T loops).
Source: RNAcentral
UGCCCAGGUGGUGGAAUUGGUAGACACGCCAGACUUAGGAUCUGGUGCGGUAACGUGUGAAGGUUCGAGUCCUUUCCUGGGCAA